Molecule: transfer-messenger RNA, 374 nt
Filed under: Umezawaea tangerina
Lineage: Bacteria; Bacillati; Actinomycetota; Actinomycetes; Pseudonocardiales; Pseudonocardiaceae
Description: Standard tmRNA
Rfam family: transfer-messenger RNA
About the family: Bacterial tmRNA, also known as 10Sa RNA or SsrA, is named for its dual tRNA and mRNA-like properties.
Source: Rfam by way of RNAcentral
GGGGGUGAACGGUUUCGACUUUGUUCGUUGAUUCAGGGGAAGCGUGCCGGUGCAGGCGAGAGACCACCGCAAGCGUCAUCGCAAACCUAUAAGCGCCAAGUCUAACGACCAGCGCGCGUUCGCCCUCGCCGCCUGAGGCUAGGGAAGACGCUGUCGGCCCGGAAGCGCCUCCGUUCCGGAUCCCGGCAUCAGCAAGGAGGCUCACCUCCGGUUCCGGGCACGGGAACCGGUUGGGAAUCCCACAGUGUCUGGGCCUGUCAGACCGAACUUGUCGACGUGAUCGGUCGGGCCGAGUAGAGACGUAGUCGACUGCGCACGGAGAAGCCCUGAUGAGCCGGCAGAGGACCCGGGUUCGAUUCCCGGCACCUCCACCA